RNAcentral lists this non-coding RNA (972 nucleotides) under Micronycteris homezi. RNAcentral describes it as "partial 12S ribosomal RNA". It matches the Rfam family "Bacterial small subunit ribosomal RNA". Lineage: Eukaryota; Metazoa; Chordata; Mammalia; Chiroptera; Phyllostomidae. The record is from RNAcentral.
UAUAGGUUUGGUCCUAGCCUUUCUAUUAGUUGCUAGCAAAACUACACAUGCAAGUAUCCACACCCCAGUGAGAAUGCCCUACAAGUCGCCUGCGACAGUAAAGGAGCGGGCAUCAAGCACACCCCACAGGGUAGCUCAUGACGCCUUGCUUAACCACACCCCCACGGGAAACAGCAGUGAUAAAAAUUAAGCAAUAAACGAAAGUUUGACUAAGUUAUGCUCACCAAGAGUUGGUAAAUCUCGUGCCAGCCACCGCGGUCAUACGAUUGACUCUAAUUAAUAGACAUACGGCGUAAAGCGUGUUUAAGAAAACCUACAGCAAUAAAGCCAAACCUUAGCUAAGCUGUAAAAAGUCACAGCUACCGGAAGCCCAAUUACGAAAGUAACUUUAAAGUAUCUGAAGACACGAAAACUGAGAUCCAAACUGGGAUUAGAUACCCCACUAUGCUCAGCCCUAAACCUAAAAAAUUAACACAACAAAAUUCUUCGCCAGAGUACUACUAGCCAAAGCUUAAAACUCAAAGGACUUGGCGGUGCUUUAUAUCCCUCUAGAGGAGCCUGUUCUAUAAUCGAUAAACCCCGAUAAACCCUACCAACCCUUGCCAAUGCAGCCUAUAUACCGCCAUCUUCAGCGAACCCUAAAAAGGAAUAAUAGUAAGCCCAACUAUACUACAUAAGAACGUUAGGUCAAGGUGUAGCCUAUGGGUUGGAAAGAAAUGGGCUACAUUACCUAAUGUCAGGUCACUACUACCCUUACGAAAGCCCCUGUGAAACCAGGGGUCAAAGGCGGAUUUAGCAGUAAAUUAAGAAUAGAGCGCUUGAUUGAAUUUAGGCCAUGAAGCACGCACACACCGCCCGUCACCCUCCUCAAAUAUAAAUAACAGCCCCCAACCCUAUUAGUAACCUGUUACAAUUACUAGAGGAGACAAGUCGUAACAAGGUAAGCGUACUGGAAAGUGCGCUUGGAUAAUC